Molecule: ribosomal RNA, 1906 nt
Filed under: Triticum aestivum (bread wheat)
Lineage: Eukaryota; Viridiplantae; Streptophyta; Magnoliopsida; Poales; Poaceae
Description: partial small subunit ribosomal RNA
Source: RNAcentral
UGGGUUAGGGGAGCAGGGCGUGUGGCACAUGUGAGGCCAGGGGAGUAGGGCGUGCUUGGGAUCCUCUCUCUCUAUCCUUCUACUCUCCCUCUCUUUCCCCUCUCCUCUCCUCUCCCUCCAGGCCGUCACAAACGGAGGGCCUGGUCGGCGGCACCCAAAGGUGCCCCUUCCUCGUCGCUGCCCCCAUCCGGGGUCCACCUCGUGUGAAGUACCCCUCCGUUCCUUGAUCCUCCACUACCCCAGCCUAGACCACCACGAUCCAGCCUCGCGGAGGAGAGGAAAGGGGUCGGCGGUGGCCGGUGGAGGGUCGGGAGGAGGAGGCGGAGCAGCGGAGCGGUGGAACUCGAACGUCGCUCGCGAGACGAGACCGCCGCCGCCACCGGAGAACACCGCCUCGUCCUCCCCCGGAGAACACCGCCUCGUCCUCCCCCUUCUGCCACCGUCGCGCGGGAGACCACCGCCUCCUCCUCCUCCUCCCUCUACCACCGCCGACGCGAACAAGUCCCCGAGCGAGUUCCACGAGCUCGGGCUGUAGGUCGUGCGGUUGUUGGACCGGCGGGGCACGGAGAAGGAGAAGGAGGACGUCGCCUGGCUGACGUCGGAGCGGCCGCGGGAGCCGGAGGAGUCCUAGGGGUAGAUGUUCCGAUGAGGGGGUUACCACUUUUAGGGGAUGUCUUACCACGACCUACAGGAAAAUCUUAGAAACCCGGACGGUCGCCGACUCAUAGCUUGGUUUCGUACGCUCCCACCAAACUUCAAUGCUUCUUGGGGUAAAAGUAAGUCUAUACGUGCGGAAAAACAGUAGGUUUCAGAAACGUAAAUCCAAAUAUAAUAACUAAACCCAAAUCAACAACUCUAGUUUUGACAUUAGAACGUACAUCUAACCUGUCUAAUUAAGAGUGAAACUCCUGAGGCAAAACAAGUAGCCUUACAAAAAAGUUCACAGAGUUCUUGAAGCGAUACUACAAAAAGUUCACGGAAAGGUACAGAAGAAUAAAACGAUUAAGCCUCAGCUCAUCUCUAUAAUAUGAGGUGGUAAAGAAGACAACAUUUAUUAAUAGGGAAGAUGAAGUAACAGAAUCAAAAACAUAUCUAUUGUGUGUGGAUAAGGAAACAAGACUGUCCACAAGCAAGUUAAGUACACGAACCCUAAACAAAGCUAACUACCUGGAGUUUCGACUACGUUAUUACGUACUUGAACGGUUUUCCUCCAAAUCGUCCAGACUGAAUACCAGAUUCAACUACCACAAAUCGUUAUAACCAAGCUAGGUACGUCUCCAGGAGCGGCAGCAACGUCACCGCCCUGUUCUGCCGCUCCUCGGAGGAGGAGGAGCGCCGCCGACCGACAAUUUAGAAAGCAAAACAAAAGUAAAACGGUUUCCACUAACCUAUUUCAAGACAUGACUAUCAGGCUUUGAAACACCAGCGGGUCCGAUACGUCGGAAAUUAGUAUAAAUUGUAGCAGUACCAGAGACCUGUUUGUUCGAACUCCUCCGGUAACAAACCACGUCGGGUGCUACUGUUGAUGUGGUAACUGGUGACUUCGUUCCAGGAAUAUACCAGUGACUUCUUUGCGCAACAGUAUAAAAAAGGCUGCCUUACCGUGAAAAGAACUUAGAUACGGUCACAGAUAACAUUAAAUUAUAGUAGGGAUCCUGUUUGUACUAAGACACAACGGCAAGAAAUAGAGAUAACAACUUAGGUUUAAUGAUUACACUGUACUAUUGUAUAUACUACGCCACCUGUCAUAACGAUUCUUCACGUGCCUGUGUCACGAAAUAGUACAGAACUCAUGUAAAAUAAAUAACACAACGGGUACACAUGUUGAUGAACCCAAUAGAUUAACGUCUGAGUUGAUAACAUUCAUUGAUUACUAGAUUAUACAAUGUAAGAAUGUAAUAAUUCG